GUGAGUGAUGAAGGCCUUCGGGUUGUAAAGCUCUGUGGGGUGAGACGAAUAAGUGCAGCCUAAUACGCUUCAUGAUGACGGUAUCGCCUUAGCAAGCACCGGCUAACUCUGUGCCAGCAGCCGCGGUAAGACAGAGGGUGCAAACGUUGUUCGGAAUUACUGGGCGUAAAGCGAGUGUAGGCGGUCUGAAAAGUCGGAUGUGAAAGCCCCGGGCUCAACCCGGGAAGUGCACUCGAAACUGCCAGGCUAGAGUAUCGGAGAGGUUGGUGGAAUUCUCGGUGUAGAGGUGAAAUUCGUAGAUAUCGAGAGGAACACCGGCGGCGAAGGCGGCCAACUGGACGAAUACUGACGCUGAGACUCGAAAGCGUGGGGAGCAAACAGGAUUAGAUACCCUGGUAGUCCACGCCGUAAACGAUGGGUGCUAGGUGUCGCGGGCUUUGACUCCCGCGGUGCCGUAGCUAACGCAUUAAGCACCCCGCCUGGGAAGUACGGCCGCAAGGACUA
Molecule: ribosomal RNA, 504 nt
Filed under: uncultured Pseudomonadota bacterium
Lineage: Bacteria; Pseudomonadati; Pseudomonadota
Description: bacterial SSU rRNA
Rfam family: Bacterial small subunit ribosomal RNA
Source: RNAcentral